Molecule: ribosomal RNA, 253 nt
Filed under: uncultured bacterium
Lineage: Bacteria
Description: partial 16S ribosomal RNA
Rfam family: Bacterial small subunit ribosomal RNA
Source: RNAcentral
UACGGGGGGGGCAAGCGUUGUUCGGAAUUACUGGGCGUAAAGGGCUCGUAGGCGGCCAACUAAGUCAGACGUGAAAUCCCUCGGCUUAACCGGGGAACUGCGUCUGAUACUGGAUGGCUUGAGAUUGGGAGAGGGAUGCGGAAUUCCAGGUGUAGCGGUGAAAUGCGUAGAUAUCUGGAGGAACACCUAUUGCGAAGGCAGCCCGCUGGGACGUUACUGACGCUGAGACGCGAAAGCGUGGGGAGCAAACAGG